Molecule: ribosomal RNA, 395 nt
Filed under: uncultured bacterium
Lineage: Bacteria
Description: bacterial SSU rRNA
Rfam family: Bacterial small subunit ribosomal RNA
Source: RNAcentral
AUUGAACGCUGGCGGCAUGCUUUACACAUGCAAGUCGAACGGCAGCACGGGUGCUUGCACCUGGUGGCGAGUGGCGAACGGGUGAGUAAUGCAUCGGAACGUGCCCAUGAGUGGGGGAUAGCCCGGCGAAAGCCGGAUUAAUACCGCAUACGCCCUUAGGGGGAAAGCGGGGGAUCUUCGGACCUCGCGCUAUUGGAGCGGCCGAUGUCGGAUUAGCUAGUAGGUGAGGUAAAGGCUCACCUAGGCGACGAUCCGUAGCUGGUCUGAGAGGAUGAUCAGCCACACUGGGACUGAGACACGGCCCAGACUCCUACGGGAGGCAGCAGUGGGGAAUUUUGGACAAUGGGCGCAAGCCUGAUCCAGCCAUGCCGCGUGAGUGAAGAAGGCCUUCGGUU